AACGAACGCUGGCGGCGUGCCUCAGACAUGCAAGUCGAACGAGAAAGUUCCCUUCGGGGAAUGAGUAAAGUGGCGCACGGGUGAGUAACACGUAGGUAAUCUACCUUCGGGUGGGGAAUAACCCAGGGAAACUUGGGCUAACACCGCAUAAUGCAGCGGCACCACAUGGUGACAGUUGUUAAAGCGGGGGAGUUUUAGGACCUCGCGCCUGAAGAGGAGCCUGCGGCGGAUUAGCUAGNGGUUAGGGUAACGGCUUACCAAGGCGACGAUCCGUAACCGGCCUGAGAGGGCGGUCGGUCACACUGACACUGACAUACGGGUC
Molecule: ribosomal RNA, 322 nt
Filed under: uncultured bacterium
Lineage: Bacteria
Description: bacterial SSU rRNA
Rfam family: Bacterial small subunit ribosomal RNA
Source: RNAcentral